This 255-nucleotide ribosomal RNA is filed under the name uncultured bacterium. Its description in RNAcentral is "partial 16S ribosomal RNA". It matches the Rfam family "Bacterial small subunit ribosomal RNA", at positions 524 to 776 of the family's 1533-position model. The record is from RNAcentral.
UACGGGGGGGAGCAAGCGUUGUUCGGAUUUACUGGGCGUAAAGGGCGCGUAGGCGGUCGUGACAAGUCACUUGUGAAAUCUCCGGGCUUAACUCGGAACGGUCAAGUGAUACUGUCGGACUAGAGUACAGAAGGGGCAACUGGAAUUCUCGGUGUAGCGGUGAAAUGCGUAGAUAUCGAGAGGAACACCUGCGGCGAAGGCGGGUUGCUGGGCUGAUACUGACGCUGAGACGCGAAAGCGUGGGGAGCAAACAGG